CCAAUAGCGUAUAUUAAAGUUGUUGCAGUUAAAAAGCUCGUAGUUAAAUUUUGAGAUCGGUUUAUUGGUCGUGCUUUUGUACGUACUGGUAUUACCGGUUUCUCCUUUCUGACGAACCUUAAUGCCAUUAAUUUGGUGCUUUGGGAAAUCAGGACUGUUACUUUGAAAAAAUUAGAGUGUUUAAAGCAGGCUCACGCUUGAAUACAUUAGCAUGGAAUAACGGAAUAGGACGUUUGAUUCUAUUUUGUCGGUUUCUAGGAUCGACGUAAUGAUUAAUAGGGAUAGUUUGGGGCAUUAGUAUUCAAUUGUCAGAGGUGAAAUUCUUGGAUUUAUUGAGGACUAACUACUGCGAAAGCAUUUGCCAAGGAUGUUUUCAUUAAUCAAGAACGAAAGUUAGGGGAUCGAAGACGAUCAGAUACCGUCGUAGUCUUAACCAUAAACUAUGCCGACUAGGGAUCGGAUGAUGUUAAUUUUUUAAUGACUCAUUCGGCGCCUUACG
This 499-nucleotide ribosomal RNA is filed under the name uncultured Glomeromycotina. RNAcentral's name for it is "partial small subunit ribosomal RNA". It matches the Rfam family "Eukaryotic small subunit ribosomal RNA", at positions 591 to 1092 of the family's 1831-position model. Lineage: Eukaryota; Fungi; Glomeromycota. The record is from RNAcentral.